ACGACCUUACUUGAACAGGAUCUGUUCUAUAGGCUCGUACCUCUGUAUCCUUGAGUUCUAAGGAGACAGGAAACUAAGCCUGGUGGAUGAGUUGUGGUCAGGGGGCUAGAGCGUGAUUAACAGCACUGUGCCUUCGUUGGCUGGGACCGUAGAGGAUCGUUCCUGGCCGUGGAACCACGGUUGGGAUGGCCCCUUGGCUGUCUGACAGGCU
Molecule: small nucleolar RNA, 211 nt
Filed under: Ipomoea nil (Japanese morning glory)
Lineage: Eukaryota; Viridiplantae; Streptophyta; Magnoliopsida; Solanales; Convolvulaceae
Description: Plant small nucleolar RNA U3
Rfam family: Plant small nucleolar RNA U3
About the family: Small nucleolar RNAs (snoRNAs) are involved in the processing and modification of rRNA in the nucleolus. There are two main classes of snoRNAs: the box C/D class, and the box H/ACA class.
Source: Rfam by way of RNAcentral